CGAAUUAGACACUGGCUAGUGUUCUCAGGCCAUAACACAAGGUUGGGGGGCCAGUACGAGCGAAGGAUAGAAGAGGCACAGCAGAGGCAAAUAGGGUUGUCCUCGUUCGGUGAACGGAGGGGCGGAGACGACGAGGAGUUAGGUAUGGUCUGGGAAAACAUGAACACAGUGAAUUGAGAGAAGGGAGGAAGUAAAAGAAGCAUACAAGGGAGAACAUCGGUGGGAAUAAGCUGAAUGCCUGCGUCAUAAACGUGCGCAAGACCAAGUGGGGGAUGCACUAUACGGUUGGACCGGGCGAGAUGAAGAAAAGUCAACGCGACUGGCCAGGAUGGUGCGCAGGACAAAGAAUAUAGAGAACAUAUAACGGAGCAGGAAUAAGUAGCUUGGGAAAAUUAACGGAACGUCGACACGGGGAAUGUAAGGCGUAGUAAAACAAAAAGGUUACACCUAGCUCGUGUGGUCUGAGGACGAUGACAACAAUACACAGCAAACUGUGAGAGAGCAGUAGAGGUAGGGAGGAACGGAAAAAAAGGCGAAAACUGAGUCACAGGACUCACUGACACAGGUGGAAUGUACACGGGGAUGGGAAGUAAAAUAAUUCAACAGAGUGGGCCUCGAGCGCAUAUAAGUUCAACAAAGCAGGGUUGCGAGACGUUUGUUAAUGUUGGGGCGCAUGUAAAAGACGUCAGGGUAUAUGUUUACAAAUCAAACAUAUAUACAGCCGUGGUUAUUAAGGCUGAUAUAAGAAAAAGUAUGAAGAUAACGCAAGCUGGGGGCAAAUCGAAAGGUAUGUGACAGGAUGAUACAACAGAACAGAAAUAAAGUGCACAGCAUGAAAAGACGGCGAACAGGGAGAUCCGUGGAUAGGGACAACAGAUAAACAAGCCAUCUGUGUACAAGGGAGGGUGACGGUAGAUAAUACAGAGACUUGUGAAAGUGGACUGGGAAUAUAACGGAAAAAAGACAAGUGGGGGGGGACGGACAACGGGAAGAACUGAAAAAAGAAAAAAGAAAGGAUAAAGGAAGGCGGGAAAAGGAGGAGGGGGAACAGAUGCAAUCACUAUCAAGUGCGUGAUGUAGGGGAAAAUACCGCACACGGGCUCUGAGCCAUAGGGGAAAACUAGUGCUGGUUCGACAGAACAUGGCAGCUAAGUCUUGUAGAGGGGGUAGAAUUCCAGGUGUACGGUGAAUGCGUAGGAGUCUGGAUGAUCCGGUGGCGAAGGCGUCCCCCUGGAAAAAGAACUGACGCUCAGUGCGAAGCGUGGGGGCAAACAGAUUAGAUACCCCUGUAUCCACGCCUGAACGAUGUCCGAUUUGGAGGUUGUGCCCUGGAGGCUUGCUUCCGGAUCUAACGCGUUAACAUCGACCGCCUGGGGAGUCGGCCGCAAGGUUAAAACUCAAAGAAUGCGGGGGCCCGCCAAGCGGUGAGCAUGUGUUUUAAUUCGUUCAACGCGAAGACCUUACCUGGUCCUUGACAUCCACAGAACUUCCAGCGAUGGAUUGGGGCCUUCAGGGAACUGUGAGCGGUGGCGCCUGGAUGUCGUCAGCUCGGUGUUGUGAAUGUUGGGUUAAGUCCCGCAACGAGCGCAACCCUUAUCCUUUGUUGCCAGCGGUUAGGCCGGGAACUCAAAGGAGACUGCCAGUGAUAAACUGGAGGAAGGUGGGGAUGACGUCAAGUCAUCAUGGCCCUUACGACCAGGGCUACACACGUGCUACAAUGGAAAAACAAAAACGGAAAAAAAAAUAAAAAAAACAAUGAAAAAAACAUAUACAAAGAGAAGCGACCUCGCGAGAGCAAGCGGACCUCAUAAAGUAUGUCGUAGUCCGGAUUGGAGUCUGCAACUCGACUCCAUGAAGUCGGAAUCGCUAGUAAUCGUAGAUCAGAAUGCUACGGUGAAUACGUUCCCGGGCCUUGUACACACCGCCCGUCACACCAUGGGAGUGGGUUGCAAAAGAAGUAGGUAGCUUAACCUUCGGGAGGGCGCUUACCACUUUGUGUUCAUGACUGGGUGAAGUCGUAACAAGGUAACCGUAGGGGAACCUGCGGUUGGAUCACCU
RNAcentral lists this ribosomal RNA (2058 nucleotides) under Klebsiella pneumoniae. Its description in RNAcentral is "bacterial SSU rRNA". The stretch from base 1060 to 2058 matches the Rfam family "Bacterial small subunit ribosomal RNA". Lineage: Bacteria; Pseudomonadati; Pseudomonadota; Gammaproteobacteria; Enterobacterales; Enterobacteriaceae. The record is from RNAcentral.